Long non-coding RNA from Camelina sativa (false flax), 1542 nucleotides. RefSeq lists it as uncharacterized. The record is from RefSeq and is a predicted model, not a curated record. Lineage: Eukaryota; Viridiplantae; Streptophyta; Magnoliopsida; Brassicales; Brassicaceae.
GCGUCUCUCUGGCUUCCCCCCUUCUUUCUGUAAAAAGGGCUUUAGAGAUGAUCUUUCCAUAUCAUUCCUAUCUUAGCUUCCUAUUCUACCUCCUCUUUUCUUACUGAUUUUUUCUUCUUCAAUGAUCAUGAGCAGCUGCGACAGUUUCAGCGAAUGGGUGCCUUUGUACCGAGCUCGUCCUGCUCCUUCUCGGCAAAAUCAGGUGUCAAGGCAUGAAUGUGUCUUCUUUGGCCGACCUCUAACUGACUGAUCUUCUUCCUCAGAUCACAUUGCACCGACUACACCUAGUGAUAGGUCAGGCCGCUUUGUCGCAGCAAAGCCUAGCGAACUUCCCUUGGAAGAAAAUGUCGGUUGUGGCUGCACACACUACAAGAAAUUUGAGUAUUGGUACCAUAUGAGGGUAGCACGAAUUCACUAACUGCUACUAAAAGUGUCAUAAUUGGAUAUCAACUCUAUUGUAGCAUUAUUUUUGUACUGUGAAAAAUUUUACUUUAAGCGGAAACAAAAAAUAGCAACUAUAGCUAAAAAUUCAUUUUGGAGGUAAAACACUUAGCCCAAUUUUUUGUUUUUCAUAAUAAAAAAAAAGGAAAAAGAAAGCCUUUUGCAUAAAGUCUUAAACCUUCUAUUUUCUCUCCUUUAUUCUCUUAUCAGCUCUCUCUUUGGAGAUUCGAUUAGGGUUUUUCUUAUUCUUCUGGAGAUAGAAUGAUAUUUUGAUUUAGAGCAAAAAUCUAAUGUGUUUGGAGCUAGAUCCGGCGGCAGAUUUGGAUAGGUUGUUUUUUCCGUUUAUGAAUCUGCUUGGAGGAUUUGGAGCUAGAUCCGGCGGCGGUGGACCUUUCAGGAACCAAUAGGGCUAUUGCUUCAUCUAUCUCGGCGAAGAAAAUCACCGACGUCGCUUCCGCUUCCCUCCGAUUCAGAUUCUUGAUCUGAGACUGAUUUUGAUGGCUUCUUACAUGGCCUUCACGCCUUCUUCUUCACUCUCUCUCAUGUAUAAAGAGGCUGGAGCUGGAGAAGAAAAAGUCGAGGGAGACAUUAUCAUUGGUGUAUUGUGUCAAGAGUAUGUGGCCUAACAUAGAUGCUCAUAGCAGAGUGCUGCUGAACUAUUAUGGUCUAACCGAAGCAAAGUACAAAAUGCAUCGUUAUCACUUCAGUGUAACUAACCUUGGACCUUGUUUUGCUGAAUCUUAGUUAUAAUAGAGUGACGUUUCUUUCAAAUAUAGAUACUACAUCUUGCUUUUUGAUGUCUCAAGCUGCUUGUGUGGUGGCAAUUGUUAUUAGUCUCUGCACAUACGUUAUGACUCUAUGAAGAUACAUUACAGCAGCAUUACUAAAAUGAUAUAAAACAGUAUUUUACAACAAUAAAAAAGGCCAUGAAAAACUACAUCAUAACACAAAUCAAAUGUUAUAAAAGAUUAUUUUUUAACAGACGAUUAGUUCUGUAAUAGAACUACAGAAAACUAAUUUCUCAUGUUCUAGCGUUUAUGGAAACGUUACCAAAGCCCUACUAUAGUAGUGUUUUUAGUGUGCUACUAAUGCCCAUAUUUC